This is an RNA transcript of Xiphophorus hellerii (green swordtail), 4799 nucleotides long. It is a transcript of the gene named inverted formin-2, with no coding region annotated. The transcript is spliced from 22 exons. Lineage: Eukaryota; Metazoa; Chordata; Actinopteri; Cyprinodontiformes; Poeciliidae. The record is from RefSeq and is a predicted model, not a curated record.
GUAAAGGGGCCGUGGUGACUGGAGAGCGGCAGGCUGCGGUCCGCAUUCCACGGGAAGGGGUCUGUCCUGCCAAGCAGAACCCAAACCAUCAGGGGUCAUCAUCUCGUCUAUUGUCUGGAAGAGGAAGAAAAACGCCUGCAACGCGCGCCGCUAUGUAAAAGUCUGAGGAAGAAGCGAUUUUUCCAAACUGAGAGAGUAUUUAUGGAAUAAAACCAGGUCUACCAAGCACCAUGUCAGGGAUAUCCGAUGGGAAAAAGAAGUGGGCAGCAGUCAGGGAUCGCCUGGGCUCCUCUCAGGACUCCGACACGCAGCAGGAGGCCAACUUGGAGAGCGCCGACCCCGAGCUGUGCAUCAGACUGCUGCAGGUUCCCACCGUGGUAAACUACUCGGGCCUGAAGCGACGCCUGGAAGGCAGUGACCAGACAUGGAUGGUCCAGUUUCUGGAGCUGUGCGGGCUGGAUCUGCUCCUGGAGGCCCUGGACCGGCUCUCGGGCCGCGGGUGCUCCCGCAUCGCCGACGCCUUGCUGCAGCUCACAUGCGUCAGCUGCGUCCGAGCCGUAAUGAACUCAUCAGCAGGGAUCCACUUCAUCAUAGAGAAUGAGGGCUACAUUAGGAAGCUCUCGCAAGCCUUGGACACCUCGAACAUCAUGGUGAAGAAGCAGGUGUUUGAGCUCCUCGCCGCCCUAAGCAUCUUCUCUGCAGAAGGUCACCGCCUGGCUCUGGAUGCCCUGGAUCAUUACAAGGGCUUGAAGACACAGCAGUAUCGCUUCAGCGUCAUUAUGAACGAGCUGCAGGGCACAGAUAACAUCCCAUACAUGGUUACACUCCUCAGUGUCAUCAAUGCACUCAUCUUUAGCACAGAUGACCUGAGACAGAGAGAUAAAAUCAGAAAGGAGUUCAUUGGCCUCCAGUUACUUGACAUUCUGCCAAAAUUAAGAGAUCAAGAGGACGAAGACUUGAUUAUUCAAUGUGAAGCUUUUGAGGAGGCAAUGGCUGAAGAUGAGGAGGAGCUGCUGCGAGUGUACGGAGGCAUUGAUAUGAGUAAUCACCAAGAAGUGUUCACUGCACUCUUCAACAAGGUGAGCAGCUCUCCAGCCUCCCUCCAGCUGCUCUCCAUCUUGCAGUCCGCACUAUUGCUCGGGCCGAGCCGAACCGAUAUCUGGCUGGCUCUGGAGUCCAUCACCAACAGAGCCAUACUCCUCGCUCAGGAUUCCCAGAUGGAGUCCUGUGAGAAGAUCAUGCAGCGACUGAUGUUCUUCAAGGGGAGGAGCUGCGAAGGCCAUCAUGAAAUAGAUGGGCUUGUGCUGAAGGUGGACAAGGCUGUGCAGACCGGUCUGGAUCAGGAGGAUGGAGACAAACAGGACACCAACACAGCAUCCACUCAGAAGCCUCUGUGUGCCUCUCCUCCCCCACCUCCACCACCACCUCCACCUCCUCCACCACCACUACCUGGAGGGCUGGGUGGACCUCCUCCACCGCCACCCCCUCCACUGCCUGGAAUGCCUCCACCACCCCCACCACUACCAUGUGGUCCGGGGAUGCCUCCCCCUCCACCACCAUUACCAGGAAUGGGUGGUGCACCACCUCCACCUCCUUUACCUGGGAUGCCUCCACCUCCUCCUCCUCCGCCGGGGAUGAUUGUGCCUCAGAGUAGCCAGAUCCUGGGCUCCAGUACCCCAUCAAAGCCAAGCAGAUGUCCCACUCUGAAGAUGAAGAAACUCAACUGGCAGAAACUUCGCUCUGUCGCAGAUGGUCAGUCCAUGUGGGCGUCGGUUCAGAAAGAACCGCCUCCUCAUGAGCCAGACUACGGCAGCAUCGAGGAGCUCUUCUGUCUGCCAGUCACCGAGCCCAAAGACAAGGGAGCAGCUGCUCCUGUGAAGAAGGAGCCCAAAGAGAUAACAUUCAUUGAUCCAAAGAAAAACUUGAAUAUGAACAUAUUCCUUAAGCAGUUUAAAUGCACAAAUGAGGAGUUUGUAGCCAUGAUCCAGAACGGAGACCGAAGCAGGUUUGAUGUAGAGGCGCUAAAACAGCUUAUGAAGCUCCUACCAGAGAAGCAUGAGAUUGAGAAUUUGAAGUCCUUCCAAGGAGAAAAAGACAAGCUGGCGAAUGUUGAUCGCUUUUACACCUCUCUACUUAAUAUACCAUGUUAUCAGCUCAGAAUUGAAUGCAUGUUGCUGUGUGAGGAGACGGCAUCACUGCUGGAGAUACUCAGGCCUAAAGUGAAGCUUGUCGAGGAGGCCUGCCAGUCUCUCCAGAUGAGCACAUUGCUGCCCAGUUUCUGCAGACUCAUCCUCGAUGUUGGAAAUUUUCUCAACUAUGGAAGUCACACAGGAAACGCUGAGGGGUUUAAGAUCAGCUCUCUGCUCAAGUUAACGGAGACGAAGGCCAACAAGAGCCGUAUCACGCUGCUUCAUCACAUCCUGGAGGAAGCAGAGGCGAACCACCAGGAGCUCUUGGCUCUGCCGGAUGACAUAGAGAUAUGUCAGAAAGCAGCAGGGGCCAAUGUGGAGUCCAUGCAGUCAGAAACUGGUGCUUUGCUCAAACAGCUCAAUGACUCUGCCAAGAAAGUGUCAAACUCUGUGGAUGAGGUGAAGGAGCAAUACGCAAAAAUACUUGAGGAAAACCUAAAGGCGUGCCAAAGUUUAAAUGAAAGAUUCACAGAGAUCGAGAAGAAGAGGAGUGACCUGGCUGUCUACUUGUGUGAAGAUGUGAGUCAGCUGUCGCUUGAGGAGCUCUUCGGAACCAUCAGAACUUUCAGAGAACUUUUUAUCAAGGCACUAAAGGAGAACAAAAUGAGGAAAGAACAAGCUGCCAAGGCUGAGAAGAGAAAGAAGCAGCUGGCAGAAGAAGAAUCCAAGAGACGAAAGGGAGAGAAUGGAAAAAUAAUAAAGAAAGGCAUUAUGCCACAAAACGAUGGCUGCAUCAUCGACCACCUCUUGGCAGACAUCAGGAAAGGUUUCAGCCUGAGAAAGACCCGGCCAAGGUGCGAUUCGGAAAGCCUCUCCUCUAGUGAAAUGCGUAGAGAUACAUGCCCACCUGGUUCAAGUGUGAAGUCUGCAGACGAAGGAGCCGCCCCCUCCACUCCCUCCAAACCUCACUCAGAGGAUCACCAGCGCCUCGAAGGCGAAGUGAACGGCUUCAUCAGCCCGUCAGCAGACACUGCACAAGCUCCACAGCUGAGUGCAGCCCAAGAUGGGACAGCAGUGCCUCCCAAUCCAACCCCUGGACAGCCAUUCACAACAACUCAUAUUCCUCUGGAAAGGCCGGCAUCGCUACAGGAUGGUAAAGGCCAAGAGAAACCCACUGCCUCUGUACUGGACACAACACCACCACCUGAGGCUGAAGUUCAACCAGGUCUACAUACAAACAGCUUUUCUUUAGAUUCAACGGAGACUAGCGUCCUCAGUCCAUCAUCCCUGUCAGAUUCAGACCUGCUUGAGGCCGUGCUGGACAGCGCAUCGAGCCUGGUGCAUGACGUCUCAGACGAGUCGGGCAUUAGCAAAAGCCUCGAUAACCAAGAAGGUUCAUCUGUUACAGACACUAAUGGGAAAUGUGGUGAACUUCCCAAAGGGGAUCACAAAACAAGCCAUUUACCAAAAGCAAGGGGAGAAGAUGAAGGUGAAGACAAGGAAUAUGUAACUGUGAGGACAUGCGGGGAGGAUGAAGUUUGGAGUAAGAAACUCUCAGAACCUGAAGCAAGUGUAGUUGCACUCGAUGAGGGCAUCAGCGGGUGUGACUUCCCAGAUGGGCAGGAACCGGAAGAAGUGCCGUCGGUCUCUGAGGAAGUGUCCACCUCUGUUGCACCUGAACCAAAGAAACAGCUGAAGCUCUUUAAGCGAAGCAAAAAAAGGAGUAGUCAAGGUAAACCAUUCAUUCAUUACAAUAAAGGUCACACUUUGAAAGCUAGCUUCUCAAGAUUUUUUAAAAGGGAAGCUAUCUUUUCUUUUGCGUUUGUCAGUUUACUUUUUAUGUUCUAUCUCUUGGUGAAUUUAUAUGAGCAGUUUUGCAUGAACUCAUUCAUUUUUACGGUACAAAUGCAAAUAUUAAAUACUGAAUGGAUUUAACUCUCUGGUCAGUUUGUUUUGAAUCUUCUGUUUUCCGUUUGACUCUCUGAAACACAAGGUAACAGUGGGAAAAGUGGGAAACGACACACUAAACAUAAAUCAGGCUGUGUGUUGCAGUGAGGUGAUUCCAGAAAAAAGAAAUCGAGAGGAAAAAGAAAGUGUUAAUUUCCUGCUGGAUUUAUAAGCUGAAGAAAAGAUUUUUAAUGAUCUAAAAUGAGAAUAUUUACUGCAAGAACUCUCUGAAGAUGUUGAAGUUGUCAUCAGUCGUCUACAGAAUCUCCCCUUGACCAAGAAGUAAAACAUCCAGGUCUGAUUUUUCACAGCAUGGGUGUUGGUGUCACUUUAUGUAAAUUAGAGUUUGUUGUUUAUAUGAAUGCAGAGCAGUCCUAAGAUAUAUAAAUAUGAAUGUGCUUUAUAUGUUUGUAUAUUUUGUAAUAAUUAGUGAAAUGUGUUUUGCUAUGAGUUGUGGUUACCCUGCAGCACCUUUUGAGAAGAUAUUGUUGGUGCAAGAUGUCUAAUUUAUCAAAACAAAAAAAACAGCCUUUGUCUCAAUUUAUUUAUAUAUUCUAGCAAUCUCUAAAAUAAAUAAAUGUAACUUUUAAUGUUGAAUAUAUUUUAAUAAAAUUUACUGUAUUUUUUUUUUUCUCAAAGUGUUUUCCCCCAGCACUUUCUGUUUUUUUUUGUUUUUGUUUUUUGCUGGGUGCUUCAUAACAAUAAAAUUUGCCAUGAUAUACA